GCUAAGAGAUAAAUCAGGCUAUGAACUCUAUAAAAAGACCUAAGCAACUGAGGGCCGAGUUUUGCCACUGCAAGCACCACUCACAUUUUCUUCAGGAAAUGUACAUUCUAGUUAGUGGUGCUUGCCGAAGGCAAAGCAUCACUUGUAUUAUCUCACAUACUUAUUAGUGGUGCUUGCCGAAGGCAAAGCAUCACUAUUACUAUGCUCCAUACUUAUUAUUCUUCUUUUUAUUCUUAUUCUUUUUCUUCCGUACAAAUUUCGGCGCGUAACUAGUCCCGCAGUUUUUGUCACAGACCCGCAAAAGUGGUGUCAAAUCGUGCGGCCUAUUCGGGAAUGGUGUGCUAUGACUUUUAUAAGCGAUCGGGCGUACGAUGUUCAGCACACCGGGCGAAAUAUCGCCCGAAAAAUCGCAUAGACAAUGCAUUGCGACCAACUUUGACGGAUCGUAGCUCCGAGACAGAAUUUCGCAGAAACAUGUGAAUCACCACAUUUGGAGAGUCUAUCAGGCUGUGCGAGAACAUACCCCGCAGUGGGGUAUAAGUUGUACCCUGAGGGCGCAAGAGCCCCCAAAGUUGCCCCAUAGACAUACUAUGGUGAGAGAUCGCCCAUGAAACAGCGCGUUUUUCCUACUAUGGUACUUUACCUAGUAGUUUUGCAUUGAACAUAACUCUGGAUCACAAUGUCAUAGAGACAUGGGGGGUGGGCUCAUUUUACUCAGACAACCAAUCAGUCUAUCAGGAUCAUUGUGAAGCAGUCAAGCCACUCCCUAGCAACCAUUUAGGGCCCCUUAGUAACAAGCUCCAUAGACUUCCAUUGAAAAAAAGAUCAAAUUAAUAUCUUUGGAAAGGAGUGUCAUAGAAACAUGAGGGUGGGCUCGUUUGACUCGGGGCAGCAAACGACCAAUCAGGAUUCACCGACAAGACUUCAUAGCCACGCCCUAGCAACCAUUUAGAGCACCCUAGCAACCCAAAGCAUAGAGGGUUAUCUUCAAAUCUAAAUGUCAUAAAGCCAUAAGGGUUGGUUUCUAUCAUUCAUACUGGCAAGCAGCCUUUGGAGUAUCUACAUUGGCAGCUGCCAGGCCACUCCUAGCAACCAGACAGAGUACCUUAGCAACCAUUUUGCAAAACCUAUAUCUCUGAAUCAGAACAUCGUAAAGACAUGGCGGUUGGCUCUUUUGACUCAUGCUAGCAAACUGGAAUUCCAACAUGCUAGUCAUGCUAGCAGUGAAUAGCUACAUGCUAAUAGUGAUUA
This is a long non-coding RNA of Cyprinus carpio carpio, 1251 nucleotides long. The record is from Ensembl. Lineage: Eukaryota; Metazoa; Chordata; Actinopteri; Cypriniformes; Cyprinidae.